Molecule: unclassified non-coding RNA, 337 nt
Filed under: soil metagenome
Description: partial contains 5.8S ribosomal RNA, internal transcribed spacer 2, and large subunit ribosomal RNA
Rfam family: 5.8S ribosomal RNA (bases 1-120)
Source: RNAcentral
GAUGAAGAACGCAGCGAAAUGCGAUAAGUAGUGUGAAUUGCAGAAUUCAGUGAAUCAUCGAAUCUUUGAACGCACAUUGCGCCCCUUGGUAUUCCAUGGGGCAUGCCUGUUCGAGCGUCAUUUGUACCUUCAAGCUCUGCUUGGUGUUGGGUGUUUGUCUCGCCUCUGCGUGUAGACUCGCCUCAAAACAAUUGGCAGCCGGCGUAUUGAUUUCGGAGCGCAGUACAUCUCGCGCUUUGCACUCAUAACGAUGACGUCCAAAAGUACAUUUUUACACUCUUGACCUCGGAUCAGGUAGGGAUACCCGCUGAACUUAAGCAUAUCAAUAAGCGGAGGA